GUGACAUCACACACAUGCCUGGCAGAAGGGGUCAGAACAAAAACCACAUUGCAGCUGGGGCUUGUUUCAGCUGAAGUGGCAGAGAAGUGUCAUCGCAGUUCUCCCAGAUGUGGCUGUGCAAGGACUGCUUGUCAUCCCUACAGCUGAUACCAACAACCAUAUUUGAGAGAAAGACUGAAUUGUGGUCAGAAGCUACUGGGACUCUGGAAAUCUGCGUUUCUAUUCUGCUCUACUAAAGGGAGACUCCCACGAUCCAGGAUGUACAAAGUGCCCCUUCUUACUCUAUUUGGAAGGCAGAUCUUUAGAGGGCUUCUGUAGUCCUUUUCCAACUUUAUUGGUGACAACCAACAAAUAUACAAACCAGAGUGAGGAAGCAGAGAAAAGCAGUCUUGCAUUCUUUCCCUUUCAUAGAUGAACUUAAACCCUGUUGCUGGCACAUAAAUUAGGAAAUCUUUAGCAGAAUCUAUCAUGCUUACAUUGAUUUCUUCCAGUAAUUUGUGCAGUCCUACCUGAAGAAGGGCUGUUCCUAUGGGGAAUGAGCAGCCUUGCUGUCACAGCCUCCUCCAGCUCCCCAAACCUGUGCAGCACUUGGAUCAAACCCAUUUUCCAUGCCUUGCCACAAGGCAGAGAGCAAU
This 635-nucleotide long non-coding RNA is filed under the name Phasianus colchicus (ring-necked pheasant). RNAcentral's name for it is "lncRNA (ENSPCLG00000011920.1)". Lineage: Eukaryota; Metazoa; Chordata; Aves; Galliformes; Phasianidae. The record is from RNAcentral.